UACGUAGGUGGCAAGCGUUGUCCGGAAUUAUUGGGCGUAAAGCGCGCGCAGGCGGUCCUUUAAGUCUGAUGUGAAAUCCCACGGCUCAACCAUGGAAGUGCUUUCGAAACUGCUGAGCUUGAGUACUUAAGAGGAUCGCGGAAUUCCCGGUGUAGAGGUGAAAUUCGUAGAUAUCGGGAGGAACACCAGUGGCGAAGGCGGCGAUCUGGGAAGAUACUGACGCUGAGGUGCGAAAGCGUGGGGAGCAAACAGG
This 253-nucleotide ribosomal RNA is filed under the name uncultured bacterium. RNAcentral's name for it is "partial 16S ribosomal RNA". It matches the Rfam family "Bacterial small subunit ribosomal RNA", at positions 524 to 776 of the family's 1533-position model. The record is from RNAcentral.